AUUGCAUGCAUGACUUCCGGUCCGAAGUGUUGUCUCGCGGCGGAGCGCUUGAGCUGCUGUGCCCCGCUAUUAGCGUGCGCUACUCCCGUUGGCCUGCGUUGGUAAGUGUCCUCUUGGUCUGCACAAUCUGAUUAUUAAAUAUUAGCGCUAACAAUGGUUCGGUUGUAGGUACCGCAUGUAGCUGUAGGCUCCUCCCCCUGUUAUCGUCAGUGUGCCGCCAAUCGAGUCAACAGAUGAGGGACGGCUACUGAGCAACCUGAACGGCUGAACCCUGCUGCUUUGUCUUUAUAUUUCGUCUGCAGUUUCAAUUACAGCGCCGUCCGCUGUUGUGUUUACAGCUUUGUCUGUUGUCCUUGUUUAUAGCGCUGUUUGUUGUCUGUUGCCUACAGCGUUGCAACAGAUUUGGCGUUGUGUUACCACGGCCGGAACCGUUACAGCCAUUUUUCAUAAGUGUGCCGCCUUGGCCAUUGGGUUUGUUUUGCUUUGAAUAUAGUUUGUUUAUUUACUUUCUUUUCUGUUUUUGAGCAAAGGAUAUUUUGUUUGGAUUGAUUGUUUGCCCCGUUUUGGUUUCGCAUUAGUUUUGUUUCAUUGUGUUUGAUUCUUGUCUGUUUUACUUUGCAGAGGUCUGUGGUGGUGGCGGUGUCCCUUUUCUUCCUGUGUGCUGUGCUUCCCUGGGAUUUGUGUUUGUGUGUGUGAUUAUCAUUUACCCGGGUGAUUUAUAUUAUUUGGACCCUUCCCUUCGCUAGUCCCCCCAUUCACAUCAGCCUCCGCCUUAACAGUUUAUUGUGUGAUUAUUCCAUUGGAUUAAUCAAAUAAAAUAUAUAUUGUUAAAACUGUGAACCACGUCUCCUGCCAUUAGAGUCAACUUACUUGCGUGUCCUAAAUUAAAUCUUUGGGUGAAAGUCCCAAGGUGGCGUUGUCUGCAACCUCCUGAACACGGGCUGUGCUUGGUGUGGUCCCUAACGUGACCUCGCCCCACGCCCGCUUCUCA
Molecule: long non-coding RNA, 991 nt
Organism: Gadus chalcogrammus (walleye pollock)
Lineage: Eukaryota; Metazoa; Chordata; Actinopteri; Gadiformes; Gadidae
Exons: 3
Source: RefSeq, a predicted model, not a curated record